This 850-nucleotide ribosomal RNA is filed under the name Streptomyces sp. Its description in RNAcentral is "bacterial SSU rRNA". It matches the Rfam family "Bacterial small subunit ribosomal RNA", at positions 87 to 950 of the family's 1533-position model. Lineage: Bacteria; Bacillati; Actinomycetota; Actinomycetes; Kitasatosporales; Streptomycetaceae. The record is from RNAcentral.
GAGGGAUAGUGGCGAACGGGUGAGUAACACGUGGGCAAUCUGCCCUUCACUCUGGGACAAGCCCUGGAAACGGGGUCUAAUACCGGAUACGACUGCGGAAGGCAUCUUCCGCGGUGGAAAGCUCCGGCGGUGAAGGAUGAGCCCGCGGCCUAUCAGCUUGUUGGUGGGGUAAUGGCCUACCAAGGCGACGACGGGUAGCCGGCCUGAGAGGGCGACCGGCCACACUGGGACUGAGACACGGCCCAGACUCCUACGGGAGGCAGCAGUGGGGAAUAUUGCACAAUGGGCGAAAGCCUGAUGCAGCGACGCCGCGUGAGGGAUGACGGCCUUCGGGUUGUAAACCUCUUUCAGCAGGGAAGAAGCGAAAGUGACGGUACCUGCAGAAGAAGCGCCGGCUAACUACGUGCCAGCAGCCGCGGUAAUACGUAGGGCGCAAGCGUUGUCCGGAAUUAUUGGGCGUAAAGAGCUCGUAGGCGGCCAGUCACGUCGGAUGUGAAAGCCCGAGGCUUAACCUCGGGUCUGCAUUCGAUACGGGCUGGCUAGAGUGUGGUAGGGGAGAUCGGAAUUCCUGGUGUAGCGGUGAAAUGCGCAGAUAUCAGGAGGAACACCGGUGGCGAAGGCGGAUCUCUGGGCCAUUACUGACGCUGAGGAGCGAAAGCGUGGGGAGCGAACAGGAUUAGAUACCCUGGUAGUCCACGCCGUAAACGUUGGGAACUAGGUGUUGGCGACAUUCCACGUCGUCUGUGCCGCAGCUAACGCAUUAAGUUCCCCGCCCUGGGGAGUACGGCCGCAAGGCUAAAACUCAAAGGAAUUGACGGGGCCCGCACAGCGGCGGAGCAUGUGGCCUUAA